This is a long non-coding RNA of Odontomachus brunneus, 451 nucleotides long. RefSeq lists it as uncharacterized. The record is from RefSeq and is a predicted model, not a curated record. Lineage: Eukaryota; Metazoa; Arthropoda; Insecta; Hymenoptera; Formicidae. The transcript has 2 exons.
UACCCAUUUAUUACGUGCGAAGCAAAAUAGAAUAAUGCUCUUAGCACGAAAACGUGCAAAACGAACUUAGCUUAUGUCAUAUCGCACGUACAUCAAACGUCUAUUAAGUACAGAACCUUAUUAUAGGAUAUUAUAAGUUACAAAACGUUACAGAACGACGCGCAUUUUUACUCGAUCAGGAAAAAACCAAAGCCCAGGGAUGAUAAAAUACGUUUUAUAUUUAUUUCUUUCGAUGCUAUGUAAAGAAAAGAAUCAAAUACAUGUUGUGCAUCUAAAUGUAAUGUCUUCAACAAUUGGAUCAGCCUCACUUGUUUCCCAUCCUGGGUAUACAUCUAUGAAUAUAUCUUUACCAUUGACAUUGAAGCACAUUUGCUCAGCUUUGUCAUCUAUUUCUGAAAGAUGUAGUUGGAACGCUAUGCUCUCAUCUGCAAAUACAUAAAUAUACUAAUUU